This 501-nucleotide ribosomal RNA is filed under the name Proteus alimentorum. RNAcentral's name for it is "bacterial SSU rRNA". It matches the Rfam family "Bacterial small subunit ribosomal RNA", at positions 897 to 1397 of the family's 1533-position model. The record is from RNAcentral. Lineage: Bacteria; Pseudomonadati; Pseudomonadota; Gammaproteobacteria; Enterobacterales; Morganellaceae.
AAACUCAAAGGAAUUGACGGGGGCCCGCACAAGCGGUGGAGCAUGUGGUUUAAUUCGAUGCAACGCGAAGAACCUUACCUACUCUUGACAUCCAGCGAAUCCUUUAGAGAUAGAGGAGUGCCUUCGGGAACGCUGAGACAGGUGCUGCAUGGCUGUCGUCAGCUCGUGUUGUGAAAUGUUGGGUUAAGUCCCGCAACGAGCGCAACCCUUAUCCUUUGUUGCCAGCGCGUAAUGGUGGGAACUCAAAGGAGACUGCCGGUGAUAAACCGGAGGAAGGUGGGGAUGACGUCAAGUCAUCAUGGCCCUUACGAGUAGGGCUACACACGUGCUACAAUGGCAGAUACAAAGAGAAGCGACCUCGCGAGAGCAAGCGGAACUCAUAAAGUCUGUCGUAGUCCGGAUUGGAGUCUGCAACUCGACUCCAUGAAGUCGGAAUCGCUAGUAAUCGUAGAUCAGAAUGCUACGGUGAAUACGUUCCCGGGCCUUGUACACACCGCCCGU